GAUGAACGCUGGCGGCGUGCCUAAUACAUGCAAGUCGAGCGAACGGACGAGAAGCUUUCUUCUCUGAUGUUAGCGGCGGACGGGUGAGUAACACGUGGAUAACCUACCUAUUAUACUGGGAUAACUUCGGGAAACCGGAGCUAAUACCGGAUGAUAUUUUGAACCGCACGGUUCAAAAGUGAAAGACGGUCUUGCUGUCACUUAUAGAUGGAUCCGCGCUGCAUUAGCUAGUUGGUAAGGUAACGGCUUACCAAGGAAACGAUGCAUAGCCGACCUGAGAGGGUGAUCGGCCACACUGGAACUGAGACACGGUCCAGACUCCUACGGGAGGCAGCAGUAGGGAAUAUUCCGCAAUGGGCGAAAGCCUGACGGAGCAACGCCGCGUGAGUGAUGAAGGUCUUCGGAUCGUAAAACUCUGUUAUUAGGGAAGAACAUAUGUGUAAGUAACUGUGCACAUCUUGACGGUACCUAAUCAGAAAGCCACGGCUAACUACGUG
Molecule: ribosomal RNA, 497 nt
Filed under: uncultured bacterium
Lineage: Bacteria
Description: partial 16S ribosomal RNA
Rfam family: Bacterial small subunit ribosomal RNA
Source: RNAcentral